This 497-nucleotide ribosomal RNA is filed under the name uncultured bacterium. Its description in RNAcentral is "partial 16S ribosomal RNA". It matches the Rfam family "Bacterial small subunit ribosomal RNA", at positions 28 to 507 of the family's 1533-position model. The record is from RNAcentral.
GAUGAACGCUGGCGGCGUGCCUAAUACAUGCAAGUCGAGCGAACAGACGAGGAGCUUGCUCCUCUGACGUUAGCGGCGGACGGGUGAGUAACACGUGGAUAACCUACCUAUAAGACUGGGAUAACUUCGGGAAACCGGAGCUAAUACCGGAUAAUAUAUUGAACCGCAUGGUUCAAUAGUGAAAGACGGUUUUGCUGUCACUUAUAGAUGGAUCCGCGCCGCGUUAGCUAGUUGGUAAGGUAACGGCUUACCAAGGCAACGAUGCGUAGCCGACCUGAGAGGGUGAUCGGCCACACUGGAACUGAGACACGGUCCAGACUCCUACGGGAGGCAGCAGUAGGGAAUCUUCCGCAAUGGGCGAAAGCCUGACGGAGCAACGCCGCGUGAGUGAUGAAGUUCUUCGGAUCGUAAAACUCUGUUAUUAGGGAAGAACAAAUGUGUAAGUAACUAUGCACGUCUUGACGGUACCUAAUCAGAAAGCCACGGCUAACUACGUG